RNAcentral lists this long non-coding RNA (1689 nucleotides) under Capsicum annuum. Its description in RNAcentral is "long non-coding RNA (CANN_LNC010512)". The record is from RNAcentral. Lineage: Eukaryota; Viridiplantae; Streptophyta; Magnoliopsida; Solanales; Solanaceae.
GCCCGGUAUGAAGAGGGACAUAGUGGAUCACUUGUCCAAGUGACAAAACUGUCAUCAUGGAAAGUGUGGACAACAAAGGCCCACGGGGUUGCUUCAGAGGAUGUCAUUAGCCAUAUCCUCGACAACCCUACAUAUGCGAUGCAAUUUUACAAAAGACAGAAAGAAAUAGUUGAACACUUUCCAGCAGCUGCAACAAUCCCAGCAGAUAUAUCGAGGACAAGUUCCUCAACAGUUGCACAGUUUAAUCUCUUAAAAAUUGAAAUCACAACGGCGCUACCCCAAUAAUCUUACAACUUCCAUGUUUGGCAAACAGGUAUGCACGCUUUCAUCUGAAUCACCAAUAUUUCAAUCUUUUAGCAUUUGUCAUUGAUUUCAAUUAGUUUAUUUGAGCCAUUGUAAAUUUUUUUCAGAAUUCUUCCACUGCGACUGUUAUUUCAAUUUAAAACACCAAAAAAGUCUGCCAAAAUCAUCGGCAAAAUCGGUCAUCACAACUCUAUUUGUUUCUGUCUCCUAUUUCUGACUUUGAUCAACAAAUGAUCCUCUUAAACUUUUGUUUUUUUCUCCCGUUCUUUCAAAAAUUGAUGAUAGAGAAUUAUUUGCUAUUACAUUGAAAUGAACCUUUUUAGGAUGUAGGUUCCAUAUAUUAGUGAAUCUGAAUUUGGUACUCUGGUGACUGGUGUUUUUCUUUUGAAGCGUAUGGAUCCUCCAAAAAUGCAAUACUUUGAAGGAUUUGACAUGCAGCCGAUGACAUUUUUAAAGAUUUCGAGUCAACAUAGGUUAUAAGUAAUGCCAAAAGAAGUCCAUGAGUGUUUUGCAAUCUAAAUGGGGAGUAAAAUACCUAAGCGAAAAAGAAGAGUGAGGGACACUACGUCUAAAGUAGAUUGAAAAUUACAGUGAAGGAAAUGGAUGAGGAGUUCCCAUAGUAAUUAUUUUAAUUGUUCCAGAACCCUCACCGUUCAUGAUUCUCUAUUAAACUAAAUUUCAGUCUUACCAACUGCUGUAUUGUACCAGGUUGUACAUGCUCCACCAUUGUCAACCCACUGUUUAAUUUGUAUGUUUUGUCCCAUUAAUCUACUUCUGAAUCUGCAAACGACAAGUAUCUGCAGCAAAAUAAAUUUGUCAUUUAAGUUUCAACCACUGUAUGUGAGCCUAAAGAGAAGAAAGUUUAGUCUACAAAUAGUUCGAGUUAUCAAUUAGGAUCAGUCCCACACAGGCCGCAGAGAAAGAGACAAGAACAUCCAAGAUGCGCUAAGGCGAAGGCAUAUGUAAAACAGAUGGGAGCGAGGAAAAAAAGCUCAAUAGACCUGUCCGGCAUCAAUCUUUAAUUCUUUUCGAGAUGCCAUCAACAUUGCCUGUGCACAAAAGAAAAAUAUUUGUAAGUUGAAAUUAUUGCGUAGAACAAUAUCUUUCACUGGCACGCUUGUAUGCUUAUAUUUUCUCCUGUUUUCUCAGAUAGACCUACCUAUUGUAUUAAACAUCCAUAAGUUUCCCCAAUCUUCAGUAACAUUAUAUCGCCUUUAACUUAUUAAUAGAUUUUCUAUGCAUUUUAUCAAUGCUAAAUGCAUCCUCUUGCCUUACCAACUUUAUCGCUUUUGAAGAAUGCCUUUUGGAAAACCAUUUUCUACUACGCAUAAACCACUGUUAUGAAGGUUCUAGAAUCGUCUAUCAGUUCCAUCAAUGGAAGCUGAC